UACGGGAGUGGCAAGCGUUAUCCGGAAUUAUUGGGCGUAAAGCGUCCGCAGGCGGCCUUGUAAGUCUGUCGUUAAAGCGUGGAGCUCAACUCCAUUUGAGCGAUGGAAACUACAAGGCUUGAGUGUGGUAGGGGCAGAGGGAAUUCCCGGUGUAGCGGUGAAAUGCGUAGAUAUCGGGAAGAACACCAGUGGCGAAGGCGCUCUGCUGGGCCAUAACUGACGCUCAUGGACGAAAGCCAGGGGAGCGAAAGGGAUUAGAUACCCCUGUAGUCCUGGCCGUAAACGAUGAACACUAGGUGUCGGGGGAAUCGACCCCCUCGGUGUCGUAGCUAACGCGUUAAGUGUUCCGCCUGGGGAGUACGCACGCAAGUGUGAAACUCAAAGGAAUUGACGGGGGCCCGCACAAGCGGUGGAGUAUGUGGUUUAAUUCGAUGCAACGCGAAGAACCUUACCAGGGUUUGACAUCCUGCGAAUCCCUUGGAAACGAGGGAGUGCCUUCGGGAGCGCAGAGACAGGUGGUGCAUGGCUGUCGUCAGCUCGUGUCGUGAGAUGUUGGGUUAAGUCCCGCAACGAGCGCAACCCACGUCUUUAGUUGCCAGCAUUCAGUUGGGCACUCUAGAGAGACCGCCGGUGAUAAACCGGAGGAAGGUGUGGAUGACGUCAAGUCAUCAUGCCCCUUACAUCCUGGGCUACACACGUACUACAAUGCUACGGACAAAGGGUUGCAAGCUCGCGAGAGUUAGCUAAUCCCAUAAACCGUGGCUCAGUUCAGAUCGUAGGCUGUAACUCGCCUACGUGAAGGAGGAAUCGCUAGUAAUCGCAGGUCAGCAUACUGCGGUGAAUACGUUCCCGGGCCU
This 857-nucleotide ribosomal RNA is filed under the name uncultured bacterium. Its description in RNAcentral is "SSU rRNA". It matches the Rfam family "Bacterial small subunit ribosomal RNA", at positions 524 to 1381 of the family's 1533-position model. The record is from RNAcentral.